This 76-nucleotide transfer RNA is filed under the name Albula goreensis. RNAcentral describes it as "tRNA-OTHER". The stretch from base 11 to 68 matches the Rfam family "tRNA", at positions 8 to 63 of the family's 71-position model. From Rfam's summary of the family: Transfer RNA (tRNA) molecules are approximately 80 nucleotides in length. Their secondary structure includes four short double-helical elements and three loops (D, anti-codon, and T loops). The record is from RNAcentral. Lineage: Eukaryota; Metazoa; Chordata; Actinopteri; Albuliformes; Albulidae.
GGCCUGGUUUUGGCUUAAUGGAUAAGGCACUAGCCUCCUAAACCAGAGAUAGUGGGUUCAAGCCCCAUCUGGGGUG